This 486-nucleotide ribosomal RNA is filed under the name uncultured bacterium. Its description in RNAcentral is "partial 16S ribosomal RNA". It matches the Rfam family "Bacterial small subunit ribosomal RNA", at positions 30 to 507 of the family's 1533-position model. The record is from RNAcentral.
AUUGAACGCUGGCGGCAUGCCUUACACAUGCAAGUCGAACGGCAGCACGGGUGCUUGCACCUGGUGGCGGGUGGCGAACGGGUGAGUAAUACAUCGGAACAUGUCCUGUAGUGGGGGAUAGCCCGGCGAAAGCCGGAUUAAUACCGCAUACGAUCUACGGAUGAAAGCGGGGGACCUUCGGGCCUCGCGCUAUAGGGUUGGCCGAUGGCUGAUUAGCUAGUUGGUGGGGUAAAGGCCUACCAAGGCGACGAUCAGUAGCUGGUCUGAGAGGACGACCAGCCACACUGGGACUGAGACACGGCCCAGACUCCUACGGGAGGCAGCAGUGGGGAAUUUUGGACAAUGGGCGAAAGCCUGAUCCAGCAAUGCCGCGUGUGUGAAGAAGGCCUUCGGGUUGUAAAGCACUUUUGUCCGGAAAGAAAUCCUUGGCCCUAAUACGGUCGGGGGAUGACGGUACCGGAAGAAUAGGCACCGGCUAACUACGUG